UUCGGGUUGUAAACCGCUUUCAGCANGGACGAAGGGUCACCUUGACGGUACCUGCAGAAGAAGCACCGGCUAACUACGUGCCAGCAGCCGCGGUGAUACGUAGGGUGCGAGCGUUGUCCGGAAUUAUUGGGCGUAAAGAGCUUGUAGGCGGUCUGUUGCGUCGGAAGUGAAAACUCAGGGCUUAACCCUGAGCCUGCUUUCGAUACGGGCAGACUUGAGGGAUGUAGGGGAGAACGGAAUUCCUGGUGGAGCGGUGGAAUGCGCAGAUAUCAGGAGGAACACCAGUGGCGAAGGCGGUUCUCUGGACAUUUCCUGACGCUGAGAAGCGAAAGCGUGGGGAGCAAACAGGCUUAGAUACCCUGGUAGUCCACGCCGUAAACGGUGGGCACUAGGUGUGGGUUCCAUUCCACGGAAUCCGUGCCGAAGCUAACGCAUUAAGU
This 440-nucleotide ribosomal RNA is filed under the name Propionicimonas sp. RNAcentral's name for it is "bacterial SSU rRNA". It matches the Rfam family "Bacterial small subunit ribosomal RNA", at positions 417 to 865 of the family's 1533-position model. Lineage: Bacteria; Bacillati; Actinomycetota; Actinomycetes; Propionibacteriales; Nocardioidaceae. The record is from RNAcentral.